GGAUAGUUCAGUUGGUUAGAACGUAGUGCUGAUAAUACCAAGGUCGCAGGUUCGAGUUCCCGUAUGGGACA
Podarcis lilfordi (Lilford's wall lizard) is the source of this 71-nucleotide non-coding RNA. The record is from the annotation of a GenBank genome assembly. Lineage: Eukaryota; Metazoa; Chordata; Lepidosauria; Squamata; Lacertidae.